Molecule: non-coding RNA, 105 nt
Organism: Panus rudis PR-1116 ss-1
Lineage: Eukaryota; Fungi; Basidiomycota; Agaricomycetes; Polyporales; Panaceae
Source: the annotation of a GenBank genome assembly
GACAGCAUAGCCAAGUGGUUACGGCGACAGAUUAGAAUUGCAAGCCAUGCUUCUACUAUUAUCUGUUCCUCUUUGAGGGCGCAGGUUCGAAUCCUGCUGUUGUCG